Molecule: non-coding RNA, 913 nt
Organism: Zootermopsis nevadensis
Lineage: Eukaryota; Metazoa; Arthropoda; Insecta; Blattodea; Termopsidae
Source: RefSeq, a predicted model, not a curated record
CAUGCAUAUCACAGAGUGCAUAGCAGAUUACAAAAUAUAAUGUUACAAAAUCAUUGAUCGACUACAGUUAAGACGGUUAAUUCUAGCACAUUUUUGCGCAUUCUGAAUAAUUUUCCUUAUAUUUUAAAAAUUUGAAAGGAAAUGGCCGCAGUAACGCCAUCUAUAAUGAGCGUCCAAGAAAGAUAGCUCUGAGGACGUCGAAAUUUGUAAAUAAAUUCAGCAGCGGUGUAAUAUAAAACUUAAUUUAAAAAUUUGUGUUGUUAUUUACAAUGCCACAGUAAUAUAAACUUUCGUUUAUGGACGAUAUGGGAGAUGAGAAUUUAUGUCGUCUUUGUGCUGUGAAGAAAGAUUACUUUGUAGGAAUUUAUGAUGAUGAAGGCCACAAAUUGAGCCUGGAAACAAAAAUUACAAAAUGUUUGCAGAUAGAGCUGUAUCCCAAGGAUUCACUGCCCAAGACAGUUUGUCUGGAUUGCUGUGCUAAAUUAGAUCAGUUCUCCGACUUCUUUGAGACAACUUCACAAGCACAGGUUACACUUCAUAUGAUUUAUCCUGGUGCAAAGAAAGAAGAGGAGGUAGAUAUAGAGGAAGACAGACCUAAACCUGAGCAUGAAUCAGAUCAUGAUUGCAGUUCAUUCUUGGAAGAAGAAGCAAGUGUAGAUCCAGGCCCUCCAGUGCUGGUUGAAUGUGUACUGUCUGACACACAGGGAGCAGGUGGUGAACAAAUAACAUUCUGAAGUAAAAGUCUCUGCUGUCCUCAUCCAGACAUGUUAGCAUUAAAACAAGUGAUUCAUGCAGUACUUCUAAGAAGCUUUGGUUAAGCAGCUUUCAGGUCAUCACUGCUGUAUGGAAAUCAUUUAUGCUGAUGCCUGAAUGGAAAUUGUAAGGUGAUAGAUAACAGCUGACACUUUUCAGG